Non-coding RNA from Callorhinus ursinus (northern fur seal), 135 nucleotides. The record is from RefSeq and is a predicted model, not a curated record. Lineage: Eukaryota; Metazoa; Chordata; Mammalia; Carnivora; Otariidae.
GGGAGAAGCAGACUCCCCGCUGAGCCAGGAACCAGAUGCGGGACUCAAUCUCAGGACAAUGGGACUUGACUAGAGCCAAUGGCAGAUGCCCAGCCAUCUGAGCCACCCAGGCACCCCUCUUCAGCUUUUCGUCCC